UUUGUUUAUUUUCUGAGGAGAGAAACUCGGUAAUGUGACUCGGACUUUAGGCGGUAAUGUUCUAAAUUGGGAAUUCCUAGAUUUAAUGAGUUGAGUGGACUAAUGAACCUCCAGAUGUCUAUGUACACAUGUAUGAAUAAACUGUUGUACUCGCGCAUGCGAGCUUAUCC
Long non-coding RNA from Ostrea edulis (European flat oyster), 170 nucleotides. RefSeq lists it as uncharacterized. NCBI's taxonomy places the organism in Eukaryota, Metazoa, Mollusca, Bivalvia, Ostreida, Ostreidae. The transcript is spliced from 2 exons. The record is from RefSeq and is a predicted model, not a curated record.